AGUACGUAGGCAUAAUUCCUAUAGGUCUAAUGAAUCGUGCAUGCCACCUACGGACAGUAGGUGGUAUCUUUAGAAGAUUU
This is a regulatory RNA element of Drosophila sechellia, 80 nucleotides long. It matches the Rfam family "R2 RNA element", at positions 101 to 196 of the family's 212-position model. From Rfam's summary of the family: This family represents the 3' UTR region of the R2 retrotransposable element. This family is known to interact with the R2-encoded reverse transcriptase in a reaction known as target primed reverse transcription (TPRT). The record is from Rfam. NCBI's taxonomy places the organism in Eukaryota, Metazoa, Arthropoda, Insecta, Diptera, Drosophilidae.